Molecule: long non-coding RNA, 8400 nt
Filed under: Marmota monax (woodchuck)
Lineage: Eukaryota; Metazoa; Chordata; Mammalia; Rodentia; Sciuridae
Source: RNAcentral
UCUUUCUUUACCUUGCUGUUGAGUGUGCUGCUGCUGAGAGUUGCUACAGAAGGAAUUCAGAUAUGGCACCCUGGACAGAUGGCAAGAGUCUGGCAUUGAGCACCAUCAGACCUACGCUGAAGACCUGCACACCUCCUCUCUGGAUCACAUUCACAUUUAAAAAGGUAUGAAGUUGAGCAGAGUUAGAGUAUCUACGGUUCUGUUUAUAAAAAAUAAAGUAAGGCAGUGAGGCUCAGCAGUAGAGUGCUUGCCUAGCAUGCACAAAUCCCUGGGCUUGAUCUCUAGCACUGCAAGAAAAAAAAAAUCAAAGUAAAAUUUCAAAAAGUUUAAAUCCCAAAUAGUAUGCUUACUAUAAGGGAAUUUAAAAGUACAAGUGGACUAAAAAAGAAAAUACUUAAAGACAAAACUCCUAAAAAUUUCUUGGUUGUAUUUUCAGAAAGUUCUUUCCACCCCCAAUACAAAAUAUUUUCUACAAAAUAAAUAUGGUUUAUACUUCAGAAAUCAGAACAUGGCUUCCUAUGCUUUCCUCCACUUAACAUAUUUCGUCAAUAGACAUUUCCCUUUGGCAGUGAUUGAAAGAGUGAUUAUUUGUUGCAUGAGUGCACCAUGAUGCAGUUUACUAAGCCCUGUUGAGGACAUUUAAAUCGUUUUAUUGUUUCAAUUAGAAUCAAUAGCAUGAUAAACAUUCCUACAGCUCAAUCUCUUCAUACAUCUCUUACUGUGUCCUCAAUAUUUAUUCCUAAAAACAUAGUUAAUUUUUUUUAACAGCUUUUGGGAAGAAAAAAAAAAAAACUAAACCAAAAUAUAGUCUCCCAAAAACUUGAAGUUUAUAUACUUAUAGCAGUUUUUGGGUAUGCUAAAAAAAAUCAUCAUAACAUGAUGCUUUCCAAGUGACAAAAAAUUGUGAAGAUUUUACAGACAUCACUGCAACCUCUCCAUUGACCAUAUGAGAGGGUAUUGUUAUUCUCAUAUAUAGAAGGGGAAAAGUGAGGAUCUGAUGGACAAAGUAACUUGCUCAAGGUCAUGCAGACAGGAAAUGCAGAGGUGUGCUUGAAGCCCAGCUCAGGCUGAUGCUAAUGACCCUGUCUCCAUACACUGCUCUGCCUCCCUCUGCACAUUCACAGAAACUGGCACCUUAAGAAGCACCUGAAGUAUUUUUUCUUGAUUAUUAAGCUAAAUGUUCUGUUCCCUUUUGGCUGCUAUUUCCAUGCACUGAGCUCUGAAUGACUAAGAACCAUUUUUUGAUUAAUUAGAUUUUUGUUGCCAAGGAAUUAAUUUGGUCCCCUACCCCCUCCUCUUUCUCAAAAAGCACACAACAAAAUGAUUUUAGCAGCAGGGAUAAUUACAGAAAAUGUGGUGUUAACUUGAGUGGAAUACAAAUAUUUUAGAUUUUUUAUUGUUCUCCAGGACUGCCAGUGUGGGAAGAAAAGAGUGAAAUAAGCUGCAUUCAGUAGACCUUAGGAGAGAGCAGGACCCAGCUGGGAACCUGACGCCACUUUUGCACAUGCCCUCUGACAGACUGUGAGAAACCAGCCAUGAGACUGGAGCCUGAUCAGAGAGGAAGGCUGAAGCCCGUUGGAAUCCCUGGGACUCAAGAAGAUAAGAAGAGCCCAGCAAAGGUGCAGUCAAGCCCUUCCUCUUUCCCUGCACCUUCCUUGCCUGGCUGCCUUAGCUUUCUCUGCAGGUAACCUAAGCCCAGUGCAGGGUCACAUCUGUGGGUUUGAAGGAGCGCUGCAGGAGGCAUGGGCUACAAGAUAGAUGUCUCAGGGCAGGAAGCCACACUCACACCUAUAGUCCAGGUUGUAGACUUGGAGGCCCAAGAGCUCCGGCUCUUAGCUCCCUGGACCUGGACUUAUCUUAGACUUUCAUGAAUUUUUCCUCUCUGUGCUUGAGCACCUCUUAGUAGCUUCCUAUGGAAGAAUUCAAGAAGAUACAUUUUCUUCACUUUUUCAAGACUCAACAUUCCACGUUUCUUUCUUCAUCAUACUCAAAAAGUAGUUUGGAUACAGAAUCCUCGGCUGAGAGCUAGAAUCUUGAAGGCAUUUCUUUCAAACACUUCUACAGACACAUUGCUACUCAAAGUGUGGUUGUGGCCCAGGGUCAGUCUGCAAACUAUUCAUCAUCCGUUUGUGAAAAGAAGUACAGAAGUUGAGAGUAAGCAUUUUGAAAUUUUGAUCCUGAUUUGAGUUAUUUUGUGUGUGGUGAAAUUGAGAAUAAAACUUGGGGGCAUUUAAUUUGUAUGUUUUUUUGAAUUUACUUUUUUCUAAUAAUUGUUUCCUACUCUAUUCUAAGUUUUAUUUUGUUCUCUAAGUCACUGGGUGUUACAGAUAGUGUGAGAAGCACUGUUCGUAAGAUAUGGCUUUGACCUUAAGGAGUCCUUUGUCGGUGUGAUUGUGGUGUUUUAUGAAUAGCUCAUUUUUUCUCUCUGAAGGUGUUAAGGUUUUCUUUUAUCCCUGGGAUUUGGUGGUCUUUUGUCAUUACUGUGCAAGGCUCACAUGAGUCCUUCCUCCUGGAUAUUCAUUCAUUCGCUCAUUUGUUCAUAGUGAUUUCUCCUCUCUUUUUUUUUCCCCUCUGUUCCCUUUUUUCAGGAAUUAUCACCCAAUGGUUGGUUGGGCAUUGGUCCUCAGGUUUCAGCUGUUGAAUCUUCAGCAUUGUCUUCUUAUUUCCAUUCCUUUUUCUCUUUUUGUUUCACUUCUCAAGAUUUUAUCAACUUUAUCUCUCAACUCUUUAUUCUUUAAAAUAGACUAUAUAUAUGUAUAUAUAUAUAUAUAUAUAUAUACACAUAUAUAUAUAUAUAUUUUAUUUUACAAUCUUUCUUCUAAUUUUUUUUUAAUAUUCUGUCCUACUUUGUAUGCAGUAUCUUUUUUGGGGGUGGGGGUGGGGGUGGGUACCAGGGAUUGAACUCAGGGGCACUCAAUCACUGAGCCACAUCCCCAGCCCUAUUUUGUAUUUUAUUUAGAGACAGCGUCUCACUGAGGUGCUUAGAGAGUACCUCGCCAUUGCUGAGGCUGGCUUUGAACUUGCAAUCCUCCUGCCUCAGCCUCCAGAGCCAGUGGGAUUACAGGCGUGUACCACCACAUCUGGCUAUGCAGUAUCGUUUUUAAGGAAGCUGAUUGGAUGCAUUUCUUUCAAGUCUUUGCUUCCUGCAUUAUAUCUGUUUCCUUUACCUUUUGUUUUCCUAGUGUACUUCCCCUCUCUUUACAUUGAUGGUCCUUUUCAAAGAUCAUGGGUGUCCAUUUUUAUCUAAUAAUCUGAUGGAUACUUCUGUAUAUAGGUAUGGGGGGAUGUAAAUCAGCAGGUUUUGCUCUUGGGUGAUUGGGAAGGAGACUGAUAUAGGGACAACCCAAACAUCACUAUAUGAGUCUUUUAUAUGGGGUGAUUCUGUUUCCUGAGCUCCUCUCUGGGGAGGUGGUAGUGGUGGGCAGUGUACUUAUCUAGCUGAAGUGCUCUGCAUGUCUCCUGGAAAGACUGAUGAGCAGAUCCAAUUUCACACACAGACAGACCUCAGCUCUGCACUGCUGGGCUCUUCCCCCACGGCCGUUCUGGUUAAGUCUUAAGCUUCUCUAAGGAUCAGUAGGGCAUGUUGCAAAAAUUUAUUAAAAUCUCACAUCCACUGAUGUCCCUUACCAAUUCUCUUUACCUGGGAGGGAACAAAGAUAAAUAUCUGUGUCAAUGGACUAUUUUUAAGCAGAAGACUACAUCCUGUACUUCUAGAGUUGGCUUGUGAAAGAUUGAAGACUUAUUAAUAUUCGAUUUCUUUUCAUUAGCUCCAGCCCAAUUAGGGCCUCAUUGCGUGAUGCAUAAUUUGAUAGGCAUGCCUUCCACAUAUUCAUUAACAUAUUGAUAAGAGUGUUGAACAGGAGAGGGGGAAGGACAGUGCCCAGUGGCAUGUUACUAGAGACCUCCACUAAUGAAGGCUGGAAUUCUGUCUGUCUGGCACUGCUCUAGCAUGGCACUGGAGCUUAGUUGUAUAAUACGCUUCCAUGAAUGUGACCACACUCUCCCAAGAGAAAUGCAGGUGAUCUUGUGAGAUCUGUUCCUAGUGAACCACACUGGUUGUAGUGUGUACCAACCACUUCCCUUUGUUCUUGAACUGCUAUUAUUAUUUAAUUAUCUCUUUUUGAUUUUUCAGAGAAUUGGUAUUCAACUUGUGAGUUAUAGUUUCGGAAUCUGCCGCAUCACCCUUUCUUUUUUUUUUAUUUUUAUUUUACUCAUCACUCUUUCUAAAAUGAACAUUGCUGCUGGGCGUGAUGGCAUACUAUGUAAUCUCAGAGGCCCAGGAGGCUGAGGCUGGAGGAUUGCAAGUUCUAAACCAGCCUUACUAACUUAGUGAGGCCCUAAGCAACUCAGUGAGACCCUGUCUCUAAAUAAAGUAUAAAUAAGGGCUGGGGAAGUGGCUUAGUGAUGAAAUACCCCUGGAUUCAAUCCCUAAUAUGAAGGAAAAAAAGAGAACAUGGCCUUUUCUGGCUCCUCUCCUGGUCUCACAGUUCACACACACAUGUUGGGGACGCCCUGUCCUCCCUACACUGGGUUAUCAUUGGUGUGGGCCUGGCCCAUACAUCUUAUUCGAAAUAGUUUAAACCCAGUUCAUGUGCCGCAGUCCGGCUGCAGCAAAAUAACCGGGGGGUGACGAACAACUUGUGUACAUUGAUACAGCAGGAGUGGGAGCCGUUUGUUGUAGGACAGGAGGGGUAUAUAUACAUUCCACACAGCUUAUCUUAAUUAACAUAAACUAGAUACAGCAGUCAACCAAUAAGGAAUCUCCACACUUAAUGGCUCACUGGCGUUACUUCACAAACCACUCCCUCUGGCAAAAUGCCAGGCGCCAUCCUGACUUGUUUACAGACCCUAACAUUCAUGAGCUCUCUUUACCUUGAGUUUAGAUGUCUGCUUUUCCAUGUAUGUUCUGUGCCUUCUAGUUUGAAAUUAAUUGUCCUUGACAGAGAAUGCAGAAGCUAAAGGAGUUAAGUAUGUUUUACUUUCUUUCUUUUUUUGUUUUUUCAUUCAGUGAACAUGGCCCUGAAUCACUCAGCUAGUUUAUUCCUUAUUCUUCUUGGUUUAAACAUUGAUUUUAAGAAAGGAGCGGGCUGGGAUUGUGGCUCAGUGGUAGCGCGCUUGCCUAGCACGUGUGAGCCACUGGGUUCGAUCCUCAGCACCACAUAAAAAUAAAGAUAUUGUGUCCUCCUACAACUAAAACAUAGAUUAAAAAAAAAGGUACAUGCUAAGAAGAUACUUGAUUUAGUGUCUAAAAUCUUACUCCUCCUGCAACAAUUUAUUUUACUGAAGUCUAUCACUGCAAUCAAAACCAGUAUGUGUACUUGAGAAGGGAGCCUAUUCUACUUAAGUAGAAUGACCUGCUCAAGGAGGGGCCACACUUGGUGGAUACAGGAAGAGCUGGGGUAGUUCUAGGGCCUGAGUGUGCAGGUAAUGUAAGAGCCAGGACUACAGCACAGGGGAAAGGAGAGGUCAAGGUGAAGCUCUGUGGCUCAGAAGGUGCUGCCUGCAGUGACCCUUGACCACCUCUUAUUACCCUCCCUCAAAUCCUGCUCUCCUUGUUUAUUAUGUGGUCAGUUCCAGCUGGACUGGUCUCUGUUCCUCAAACUCACUACACCCUGCCCUUUGCUGCCUCAGGCUCUUUGCAUUCUGAUAAGCUACUCUUUGUCCAGCUCUUUUUAUUCACAGCUCCUCUUCACUCUCAAGUGAGUUCAAAGGCCCUUGCUCAGGAGUCUACCCUGACCACCCAAUCUAAAGUGACCUCCCCUCCCCCAGAGCAUUAUCAUCUUGGAAUUCCUUGUCUUUACCAGAAUUUUCUAGGUUAUUUCCUUGCUUACAUGCUUAUUAUGCCCUCCUCCCUCAAACAUAAACUCUAGACUUUAUUUGUUUUUCUACUUUUGAUUCCCAAGGUUUCCUCCGGAGUCUGGCUUGAGGGAACCAGCAAGAACAACUUUGCCAACUUUCCAAUUUUCUUGAGGGUAGUCCUUGAAGACUGCAGGCUGGGGAUACGCAGCCCAUGCUCUAGAGCAAGGAUAGCAACUACAGCUCAUGGGUCCAAUUUAGCCCAUGACCUGUUUCUGCAAAGUUUAUUAGAACACGGUCGUACUCAUUCCUCUUAUGUAUCUGUGUAUAUUAUUAUCUGUGACUGCUUUCACCCUGCAAGGGCAAAGUUGAGUAAUUAUGACCAAGCCCACAUGGCCAGCAGAGCUGAAAAGAUUUAGUAUCUGGCCUUUAACAGAACAAGUUUGCCCUUCAUUGCUCCAGAGAGAAGAUCCCCUGUGUUACGUCAGACGUUGCUUUCAUGUGAGUUGAUACCACGAUGACAAGAUGUUUCAUGGCUUCUUCCCAUGGAGGCCUCUUUCAUGUCUGUGCGUUUAGAUAUGGGACAGAAUCUUACGAUGAUGAAAAUGUUGACUUUGGUGAUCUACUUAAUUCAGAUGGCAAAACUACUUUGACCCAAAUUAUCCCAAGAACAGAGAUCAAUGUGUUUUCUCUAAUUAUUAAUUAUCUCUAAUUAUUAAUUAUCGGGACAACACAUGGCAUAAGCCACUCUGCCUGUCUGUCUUUUUAUUCAGAGGAAGGAUUUAACAGGGUGCUUUGGUGGCAUAAAAGAUAGUCUUAAAGUGUAAGAUUGUAUUAUUUUUAUUAUUUCCCUUUGCUUAGAUCUCUGUGAGAAUCAUGAUGUUUCCAAGGCAACACAUGGCUUGGGGAGAUUGAGCGAAUACUCCCGGUGCACAGGGAUAACAUCACCGCUACCACAACAAUGUUCUCCAGCACACUGACGUCCCUGUUCAGAGGGACCCGUCCUCGUGAUCAGGAUCUGGGAGGCGUGAGUUUCAAAGGGAAAUGAUUACACAUAUGUUCAGUAAAUUUGCAAGCCCUCCUUGUGGCACAAUGGAGAAGGGAACACACUUAAAACUACACACAGGACUUGGCUCCUGCCUUCUCCAGGUAGGGGAGAGGUUGUCAACAACUGUUUUGUUACCUUGUCUGGCUGAAGGAGAUGCUGUUGAAUCUCUUUUCUGUUGUUCAUAUCUAUUGCAGACACAAGUUUCCUCCUUUUUUUUCCCCAUACCAAAUAUUACAAAGCUGUUCAAAUUGCCAGAUCAUUUCCCCCAAGAUGACAAUCAUUUCUUUAAUGAAAUCCUUAAAAUUUUCUUAUAAAGAUUUUUUUUAUAGAAAGCCACAGUUAUUUAAAAAUAAAAAAGGAAAAAGUCUCUAUGUAAUAGCUGUUGUUAAUAUUUUGUUAUAGACUCUUUCCAGACAUUGCCCUAUGGACUAAAAUUAAACAUACAUAUGCAUACACAUGUAUAUGCGAACACAAAUAUAUUAAUAUUUUAGACAGGGCACAACACUAUACACACUUUCUGAAAUGCUUUCUUUUUAACUGAAUAGGAUGUCAUGAUAAUUUUUCUGUUCUUCUGUAAUCAGAAUAGUGUGACGGUUAACAUCAUGUGCUCUGAAACUGAUCACCUGUUUCAAAUCCUGACCCUAUCAAUUACUAGCUCUAUGACUUUAAUUAAGUUAUUUUUAACCUUUAUGUUACCUCAGUUUCCUCAUCUGUAAAAUGGAGAUGAUAAUAAUGGGAUCUACUAAAUUAGGUUGUUGUGAGGAUAAAAUAAGUUAAGCCUAUGUGAACUGCUUAUUAAAUUUUAGCUAUUAUAAUUUGUACAUGUUAAUGCAUAUGUAUCUAUAUCAUAAUUUUAUUGGCUGCAUAUUAUACUGUCACACUUAUUGAAAGCAUCCUUUUCUGCUUUCCUUUGGUGUUAUGGUGUAUGUGUGUAUUCAUUUAAUGCAUGCUCUGCUAUUAUUUUUUGAUAUACCAUGGAGUUGGAACUGUAUGUUACAUCUGAGCAGAGAAUGUGGAGGAAUCUGUUAAUACUUUCUUACUGUAAGAAGUCCUGAAAAUAUUCAUAGGAAAAAGGAGCAGACUUAGCUGUGGUGCUCAGCAGAUAAGAGAUGAUGCUAUGACUACACAUGAACUUUAUGAAGUCUUGAUUUGGAUCUACUACUUUCUGAGCAUCAUAAGCAAAUCACUUAACCUAAGUCUUAAUGUUUGUAUCUGAAAAAUUAAGAUUCUUUUGGUAUCUAACCCCUCAGGGUCUUGUGAAGGCUGAAUUAGGACAUUUGCCUGGUUCUUUGCCAAGUCUCAGUAUACAUUAGAUGUUAUUAUUAGAAACUGGGAGUUACCAUUAAAAUAUACAGUGCAUGCACAUACACUUACACAGCUUAUCUAUCAUUUGAGAAAUUGUAAAUUUAUGUCUUUAGUUCCUUCCAUUUCCAUGGACUCCUUCCUGGUUAAUGAGCUACCAUGUCUCAAAUUCCCACCUACUUUUUUCAUGCUCAGCUUUUGUGGUGCUGCAGCUGGGAUUCUGCUAACCCCUUUCCUUUGUCAGCGGGACCCAU